Molecule: unclassified non-coding RNA, 331 nt
Filed under: Hevea brasiliensis (rubber tree)
Lineage: Eukaryota; Viridiplantae; Streptophyta; Magnoliopsida; Malpighiales; Euphorbiaceae
Source: RNAcentral
ACCACUAGCACUGAACGAUUGGAGCUGCUAGAUGAUGAGGAGCAUAUAUUUAGGAUGACGAUUGUUGGAGGAGAUCAUCGACUUAAGAACUACUCUUCCAUCAUUACUGUCCAUCCAGAGGUCAUCGAUGGGAGACCAGGGACAAUGGUCAUUGAGUCAUUUGUGGUUGAUGUGCCAGAAGGGAACACUAAGGAUGAAACAUUAUACUUUGUUGAGGCCCUAAUCAAAUGUAACCUGAAGUCACUGGCUAAUGUGUCAGAACAUUUGGCUGUGCAAGACCGAACUGAGCCCAUUGACAGAAUCUGAAGCAUGUGGGGCAGGCUACCAGUGC